AUACAAACUGAAUCCCUUACAAUACUCACACGACGACGCAUCUCAAACACACGCGCGCACACAGGAUGAGAGAGAACUCUCGCUCUCGCUCUCCCUCCCCUCUCUCUCUCUCGCUUUCUCUCUCUCUCUCUCUCUCUCUUCCUCUCUCUCUCUCGCUCUCUUUUACAUAAUGAAGCCUCAUGCACAUAGAGCAAGAGGCUUCACACACACAUACUCAACUAUCUCUCCAUCACUGGUAUUUCCCACACUGUUUCAUUUUUGCAUCCAAACCCUAACAUAACACUAGCGAGUACUGAGAUUGUCACCAGCACCACCACCACCACCACCACCACCACUACUACUACUACUACUACUGUUAAUAUAAUAGUAGUAUUAUCAUCAGCAUCAUCAGCACCACCUUAAUAUUGCAUUUGUUCCUCAACAUAGGAAUUGUUCUCCUAUAUUCUGUCACAGGAGUGAAGAGAAGCAAGAAACAUGAAGUCUUGGAGAAUAUUAUGUUUCGUUAUAUUGUUGAUCACGAUUACUGCAGCAGAUGAUCAGUCGCGGUGCUGUAUGAAAGGUGUAAAAAGAAUGAGAAAAGCUGUGUUCUGUUCUGAACCAUGUUGUUCAGGCUAUAUUGAACGCGUUGAAAAUCCUCCACUGCUGGGUCUUGUGGUCUUCUGCGAGAAGUUGGAGGUCUAACAUGUGGAAUAUGCGUUACCUUAAUAGUUCUGUUCAUAGCCAUGGCUGUCGUUGUAUAUAAACCGUACCAUGGUUCUGACAUGUCAACAUCUCGAAUUCCUCACAGAUCAAUGGAACCUCUAGCAACUUUCGUUAACACUGUAUUUAAUCUGAAUAAUUCACUCUAACCUUGGUAAUCUUCACAGCUGUCAUAGAUGACUAGCACCAAUAAUUAUUAUACAUUCUAUACACACUGAAGCAAUAAACAAUGUAGAGUAGUGAGUUGGCUCUGAGUUAAACACUCAACAGUUCAAAAUUGUGUUCCCAUCAUUUCCUUAAUGUACUUCGUUGCCAUUAUGCAAAAGUGUCGUAAGUCCAAAACGUUGCUUUGUCAGAAAACGAAAAACUAGUUUCACCUUUCAAUGGCAAAACCGUUGUACUACACUUUGAUAAUUUUUGAUAUCUUGGCAUCUGAAGCAGCUGGAGAUACGAUAGUUUGACCCAAAAGAACCGGCUAUUGCAAGCAAAAAUAACUAUUGAAAAAAACGCAUUUGGCCAAAUUUGGACAUACGACAGUUUAACAUAAUAGCAACGAUUUAAUAUUUGAGGGAGAUGCAUAGACAUCACAAUUCUCAUUUCUAAUUUUUUUCAAUAAUAUUAUUUCAAACAAGUUCUUCAUAUGAUCACCAUCAUAUAUUAUGUUAUGGGUUACGUCUAGAAAUCAAUGAACUAUUGAAAUAAAUAAAAACAAAUAGCAACAAGCAGAUAUACAGGUAGGCAGAUAGAAACUGACAGACAGUGACUAACUACAUUCUGUCAUGUAUGCAUGUACUUUAUUCAGCAAUUUAAUCAUAUCUAAUAAAUGUCUAAUAGACAAAAGAA
Long non-coding RNA from Octopus bimaculoides (California two-spot octopus), 1542 nucleotides. RefSeq lists it as uncharacterized. The record is from RefSeq and is a predicted model, not a curated record. Lineage: Eukaryota; Metazoa; Mollusca; Cephalopoda; Octopoda; Octopodidae.